UGGGGAAUCUUCCGCAAUGGGCGAAAGCCUGACGGAGCAACGCCGCGUGAGUGAAGAAGGCCUUCGGGUUGUAAAGCUCUGUCUUCAGGGAAGAAAAAAAUGACGGUACCUGAGGAGGAAGCCCCGGCUAACUACGUGCCAGCAGCCGCGGUAAAACGUAGGGGGCGAGCGUUGUCCGGAAUUACUGGGCGUAAAGGGCGCGUAGGCGGUCAUUUAAGUCAGAGGUGAAAACUACCGGCUCAACCGGUAGCCUGCCUUUGAAACUGGAUGACUUGAGGGCAGGAGAGGGGAGUGGAAUUCCCAGUGUAGCGGUGAAAUGCGUAGAUAUUGGGAGGAACACCAGUGGCGAAGGCGGCUCUCUGGCCUGUUUCUGACGCUGAGGCGCGAAAGCGUGGGGAGCGAACGG
Molecule: ribosomal RNA, 406 nt
Filed under: uncultured bacterium
Lineage: Bacteria
Description: bacterial SSU rRNA
Rfam family: Bacterial small subunit ribosomal RNA
Source: RNAcentral